Molecule: non-coding RNA, 688 nt
Organism: Misgurnus anguillicaudatus (oriental weatherfish)
Lineage: Eukaryota; Metazoa; Chordata; Actinopteri; Cypriniformes; Cobitidae
Source: RefSeq, a predicted model, not a curated record
UUCACUUUAACAGGGAGUCUCAUCUCUGAAGAACAGCAUUCUGAAUAUGAAAAUGAAGAUGAACUUUUCUCAGCAGAACAGAAAAUCACACCAGGAUACUAUAAUGAUGUCAUCACUGUUGGACUGUCGGCAGAUCGUCAGACAGCAGACGUGCCAGAGAAUUAUGAUGAUGUCAUCAUUGUCAGACAGAACAUUCAAGGUAUAAAUGCAGACGUGCCAGAAGACUAUGAUGAUGUCAUCAUUAUUAGACAGAACAGUCAAGGUAUAAAUGACUAUGAGGAUGUGGAGGAGGAGUCAAAUUGAUCUAACAGCCCCAAUGCCUAUAAAAUCAUAAGUGUCUGAACAAAGGAGCUUAUGGGACCUUUAUUAUUGCUAUUAAAUCAUUAUUGACGUCAGAUGAUCUAUUAAUGCAGAAUUAUAUGCAAAGAAAAUUAUAAUAUAUUUUAAUCCUUACUAUAUCAGCUUAUCAUUUAUUAUGUGACUUACCCGGGUAAGUUUAGGAGUAAGUAUAACCUCUCUCUUCGGUUCCAAAAAUGGAGGUAACUUUCGGGUUAUGUUAGUAACCAUAGCAAAUGACUCUCUGAGUAUAACCUGCUCCGGAGCGUGUACGCAUAUAUUUUGCAUAAUAUUAUAAUGUUAAAGCAUUUAUUUUAUUACAUUCACAGUCACAAAUAUUUAUUGCUGUCUA